ACUCUUGAAGUCUUAGUGGCGCAGCUAACGCACUAAGUUGACCGCCUGGGGAGUACGGCCGCAAGGUUAAAACUCAAAUGAGUUGACGGGGGCCCGCACAAGCGGUGGAGCAUGUGGUUCAAUUCGACGCAACGCGAAGAACCUUACCUGGCCUUGACAUGCAGCGAACCGUCCAGAGAUGGGUGGGUGCCUUCGGGAACGCUGACACAGGUGCUGCAUGGCCGUCGUCAGCUCGUGUCGUGAGAUGUUGGGUUAAGUCCCGUAACGAGCGCAACCCCUAUCCCUAGUUGCUAGCAGUUCGGCUGAGAACUCUAGGGAGACUGCCGGUGACAAACCGGAGGAAGGUGGGGAUGACGUCAGGUCAUCAUGGCCCUUACGGCCAGGGCUACGCACGUGCUACAAUGGUGCGCACAGAGGGCUGCAAACCCGCGAGGGGGAGCCAAUCUCACAAAACGCAUCGUAGUCCGGAUCGCAGUCUGCAACUCGACUGCGUGAAGUCGGAAUCGCUAGUAAUCGUGAAUCAGAAUGUCACGGUGAAUACGUUCCCGGGCCUUGUACACACCGCCCGUCACACCAUGGGAGUGGAUUGCACCAGAAGGUGGUUAGUCUAACCUUCGGGAGGACGAUCACCANCGGUGUGGUUCAUGACUGGGGUGAAGUCG
RNAcentral lists this ribosomal RNA (662 nucleotides) under uncultured bacterium. RNAcentral's name for it is "bacterial SSU rRNA". It matches the Rfam family "Bacterial small subunit ribosomal RNA", at positions 828 to 1488 of the family's 1533-position model. The record is from RNAcentral.